Melospiza melodia melodia is the source of this 768-nucleotide long non-coding RNA. RefSeq lists it as uncharacterized. The record is from RefSeq and is a predicted model, not a curated record. The transcript is spliced from 3 exons. NCBI's taxonomy places the organism in Eukaryota, Metazoa, Chordata, Aves, Passeriformes, Passerellidae.
GCCCGGCUGCGCGGGGGGAGCGGCGGCAGCGCCCGGGGCGUCCCGCGGGACACGGGGGAAACGGGACACCUCUGAAUGGAUAUCCCAUUCCAUCAGUUUAUCCUUUGGGGAUCCCUCUGUGCUGCCAGAACAGAGACAGGAGCAACCUAAAAAUGCAGCCCAAAUGUCCCAAGCUUCUCCACUCCACAAAAAGGGGAUUUGAGGCUGUUUUUUCACGGAAUUCCAACAGCCCCGGGCACUGCAAUUGGCCUUUGGGAUGAGCAGCAAAUCCCAAUUUCCUCGGAUCACGGCAAGGAGAUCUGCCCCAAAUAUUGAAAAGAAAUGUCCAUGGAAUUUAAUUCCAGCAGCAGGGAUGAACCUCAAGGAGAAAGUGUCCAUGGAGGAGCUUGGAACAAAGAAUUUAUCCAAGCAGGAUCAUUCCCAGAAAUCUCCUGGGAGCUGGAUAACUCUGACCUUAUCUGGCUUUAGGAACACCUGUUGUUCCCACAAUUUUCACUUCACUAUUUCCAAUUCUUCUUCCACUUUUCCUUUUACUUCUGCUUCUGUUUUCUGGAGAAAACCACCAAGAGAAGGGAUCCUGGCAAACCACAGGAAAAGAAGGAAAACAGAACGCGGUGGAGAUGAAAAAAAAAAAAACCCAAAACAAUAAAUUUCUGCUCCUGCUGUUAUUUUUUUUUUUUCAGUAACUGCAAAGCCAGAUAAAAAAAUUCCUUGUCAAGGUUUUUUUCAGGAAAAAACAGAGCCUUCCCAAACAAUGAUCCCACUUCA